Long non-coding RNA from Choloepus didactylus (southern two-toed sloth), 562 nucleotides. RefSeq lists it as uncharacterized. The transcript is spliced from 4 exons. The record is from RefSeq and is a predicted model, not a curated record. Lineage: Eukaryota; Metazoa; Chordata; Mammalia; Pilosa; Megalonychidae.
GCUUUCUCAUGUGACAGAGGUGUCCUGGAAGCCAGCAGCCUGUCUUCAGAGUCCAGGAGAACACAGCCUCCGAGAGGGUUGAUGGGUUUUUCUGAACACAAACUCCUGAUGAGAUCCUCCUGCUCAUCCCUUCCACACGGAAGGGUCCUGUGAGGUUCCCACCUGCAUUCUUCCAUUUACUCACGAACACCAGUGGAGAUCUUCCCCAGCUGGCACUUCUUGUUUUAAUUGUCUGGGUCUUUUCCUUUACUAGCUUGGAAGAGUUGUAGAAGGCUCUCCCAGGGUGGUCAAAUGUGACUGUUUUUCCCGGCGAAGCAGACAGUCCCUACUGAAUAAAGCCUUCCAUUACCCGUUGCCCACUGCUGACACUGAAGGAGAAAACUCUCAAAUGUGCUGGCUGGAGAAGAAAAUCAGUAACGAAUGAAUAGCUAAGUAAUCAUUAAGAAGAGAGAUUUUAGCAAGACAGACAUAUAUGGCAGAAUAAUGUGCUCUCAGAUAUUGCCACAAUCUGAUCUGGGCAGAGCUAUUGUGGUUGGGAUCUUUUGAUUAGGUUAUUUCCAUG